UGGUGGCGUGAGUUGUCCGGUUAAUUCCGUUAACGAACGAGAACCCUUCUUCUCAAUAGGACGGACGUUCUUAGCCGUGCUGUCGGGAAACCCCCGGCAUGCACUCGUCUCUAGCGGCUCGCCAGGUGGCCCCUUGGCCUCAGUUGCCUUGGUGGCCCCUGGGUCAACGUGCCCGGGGACACGGAACGUCGCUGCGCUUCUUAGAAGGACGGUGCUGCGUUAAAUCCAACGCACAGAAGCAUGGGUCGA
This 249-nucleotide ribosomal RNA is filed under the name uncultured eukaryote. Its description in RNAcentral is "partial 18S ribosomal RNA". The record is from RNAcentral.